This 73-nucleotide transfer RNA is filed under the name Mustela putorius furo (domestic ferret). It matches the Rfam family "tRNA". Rfam says of the family: Transfer RNA (tRNA) molecules are approximately 80 nucleotides in length. Their secondary structure includes four short double-helical elements and three loops (D, anti-codon, and T loops). Further hydrogen bonds mediate the characteristic L-shaped molecular structure. tRNAs have two regions of fundamental functional importance: the anti-codon, which is responsible for specific mRNA codon recognition, and the 3' end, to which the tRNAs corresponding amino acid is attached (by aminoacyl-tRNA synthetases). tRNAs cope with the degeneracy of the genetic code in two manners: having more than one tRNA (with a specific anti-codon) for a particular amino acid; and 'wobble' base-pairing, i.e. permitting non-standard base-pairing at the 3rd anti-codon position. The record is from Rfam by way of RNAcentral. Lineage: Eukaryota; Metazoa; Chordata; Mammalia; Carnivora; Mustelidae.
GCCUGCCUGGCUCAGUGGGAAAAGCAUGUGACUCCUGAUCUCAAUGUCCUGAGUUCGAGCCUCACGUUGGGUG